CCUACGGUGAGCAGCAGUGGGGGAUAUUGCACAAUGGGGGGAACCCUGAUGCAGCGACGCCGCGUGGGUGAAGGAGCGUUUCGGCGCGUAAAGCCCUAUCGGCAGGGAAGAAGGAGGACGGUACCUGACUAAGAAGCCCCGGCUAACUACGUGCCAGCAGCCGCGGUAAUACGGAGGGGGCAAGCGUUAUCCGGAUUUACUGGGUGGAAAGGGGGCGCAGACGGCAGCGCAAGCCAGGAGUGAAAGCCCGGGGCCAAACGCCGGGACUGCUUGUGGAACUGCGCGGAUGGAGGGAAGGAGGGGAAGGCGGAAUUACGGGUGUAGCGGUGAAAUGCGUAGAUAUCAGGAGGAACACCGGUGGCGAAGGCGGCCUGCUGGCCUGCGACUGACGUGGAGGCCCGAAAGCGUGGGGAGCAAACAGGAUUAGAUACCCGAGUAGUC
RNAcentral lists this ribosomal RNA (441 nucleotides) under uncultured bacterium. RNAcentral's name for it is "partial 16S ribosomal RNA". It matches the Rfam family "Bacterial small subunit ribosomal RNA", at positions 338 to 795 of the family's 1533-position model. The record is from RNAcentral.